This is a long non-coding RNA of Chroicocephalus ridibundus (black-headed gull), 3008 nucleotides long. RefSeq lists it as uncharacterized. The transcript is spliced from 3 exons. NCBI's taxonomy places the organism in Eukaryota, Metazoa, Chordata, Aves, Charadriiformes, Laridae. The record is from RefSeq and is a predicted model, not a curated record.
GAUGAGUUUUAUUGUUAGUAGUUGUUAUAGCAACCUGAGGUGCCGGAGAGUAAUACAUGCUCAGCGCGUUGCAACAGACUCUGACAAGUUCAAGGCUGUUGCCUUGCUGCUAAAUCUUGUUGCCAAGGCAAUGCAACAUAAGGCAAGAGCCUAGAGAAAUGAACACUGCUGACAGCUCGUGCCAGCAGGCUCGGUCUGAUUAAAACGGAACUUUUGAAAGUCAUGUUAACUUAAACAGCGCAGCAGCAGCAGAAGUGAAAGGGGAGCACGGCGAUGGAGGAGAGGAUCCGGAGGAGGAGCAGUGGGUUAAUGUCAAGCAACAGCCUUUUUAAACAUGGCAAAAUGUUAGCUGGAAAAGAGAUGAGGCUGCAAGUUGAUUAUUCUCUCCUGACUAUGAUUCACUGUUAAUGAUGACAGCAUGGUCUGAGUUGAAGGAAGAGUACUACCCCAAGGACCACAGAGUCAAAACAGAUGAUCAAUGCUGAAGAAAUCAGUUUUCUUAUCUCCCUUAGCAAAAUGUCUGUGGCACUGAAGUCUGCUGUGUAUAUUCAUUUAUCGUUCCCCCACGGAGUCCCAGAGAGUUCAGAUACCCCGGUUAAAACCACUGACUUUGCAAUUUAUGGUAAGUCAUCAGCAGGGAAAGAGACAGACUUGGAGCUGGCUGAAACAUAUUAUGAAGAAUCACCAGGAUUUGCCAGGCAAAGACAAGCAAAGGUUUUUCUCUCACACACUAUCCACGAACCUUUGCGACUGAUUUGUUUUGAGUUUCCAAUGUCUGUUUGCACAGACCCGAUCAUUGCUCCCGCUGCCCUUCUCCGCUUCCUGUUGGAGAACAAACCGAGACAGUCAGCAGAAGCAAUCUCACGUCCUUUAGUAUGAAAACCACUGAACACCGUUUGUCCCGCCAGAGAAAUCAGUGCUUUAAGUAUGUGAGCAAUCCACUGACUUCAUAGGAAUACCUCUGGAUGGCUUUCUUAAGCGUUCUCUCGAUGGCUGCAGCGACCGAAGGACACUGCUCUGAGCACUUGCUUGCAGGCUGCAGGGAGCUCCACGUAGCUGCUGCCGGCCCUGGCAGCUCUUUGGGGAGCCCUGCCGUGCUGGGGCAACGAGCUCCUGCCCCCCGCUUUCGAUCCGGCCGUUCCUAGCAUUACGCAUCCCUGGGAAUACACUCAGAAACUACAGAUGAAGUCAUUCCCAAGGGUCUGCUUAGGUAUUUGGGGCCCUGGACACUGAGAGGAGCUAAAAUCUUAUGCUCUAUGAAUGGUUUUUAAAGGGAAAGUGGAACUCUUUUUAUAGUACCUUAGCCGUUUGUUAAUCUUGAAUUGGUAAAUGAUUGACUCCUCUACAAUUUGUUUAUCCUUAUCGUUAGAGAUUGCGCUAACAUAUGUUCUUCAAUCUUAUUUGCUUCAAAAGAGGCUUUGGGAGUAACAAUUACCUAUGCAGAAUCCAAAAUCAAACAUUAUUCGCGAAUUAAUAUAGUUUAUGCAUAUUAACAAAUUUGAGGCUGAUUUCAUCUCUGUGCUGUCCUUUCAAGUGAUCCAUCAAAUCGUAAAGGCAAGAGUUUGCCCAAAAGGCCCUGAAUUUGACUCGAUGCUCUAAACUUCAAAACUUCUGCCCAGGAAAUUACGCCACAUGCUCCUCUGCAGGUCCAGAGUUAGAACAACAAGCACAGCGUGCAAAGAUACAUCACCACUGAGGGCAGGGGGUGACUCUAGCUUUGUGCUAUGUCCAAUUUGUCUUGGGAUAAUGAAGAAGAGAGUGGCAGCUUACCCCAGAGCCCAGGACAGGUACAGAAAGCUACUGAAUCAACACUCACAUCCCCCAGACCAUGACCUUAUGCUCCUGUACUUCCAUGCUCCUCUCCCCCAGGCAGUUGUACUGGGCUCCCCACCAGGUGUGGGUCAGGUGACAGAGGUGGCAGUUCAGCUUCAAGUCACAGUUAAUGUGCUGACAAAGAAUUCACAACUUGUUGUUCAACCAACAUAAACCUUUUGCCCAAGUGUAGUUAGGGCUGAGCCAACAAACGUGGGUUUCUUGAUGCAAAAGGUUGUGCUGUGCUCCAAACGCAUCAUCAGAAUCACAGAUUAGAGAUGUCUUUUUAAAAAUGUGCUCUGAACACGAGUUUUUGCUUCCAAAAAUAACUUGUAUUUUGCUCAUAUUAGAAGAGCAGGAUGUUCUUUCCUGUCCUGAAGGGAUAAGGAGGAAAUGAGAACUAUGGGUUUUUUAUAUGAUAUGAGCUACUAUUCUUCUGGACUAGUGCUGUGAAUCUGCAUUUUUUUUCCCCCCAGCCUUAGCAUUUUAUUCCCCAUGGACCUCAUUUUGCUUCCAUUCAUGCUGAUGUUACCCCAGCGAAGCUCUCUCUGAUUUCAAAGGAAUUCCUCCAUAUUUACAACCUCUCCCAUCCUGAGGCAGUAGGCAUUAGAAGGGAGGCAAACUACUGAAGACAGCAAAUGCUGAAUGUCUCAAAUCCCUUUUCAAAUGAGAUAAAGUCAGUUGGGAGACACGAGUGGGGGCAUAAAGCAUCCUUUCCUGUCCUCUGCGUUUGAAGGAAAGAGACGGCUGUUUGGAGGAAAUGUGAACGUAAUGGACUGUACAUUCGUGUCCCAUUGUACUGAGAUCUGACAGGAAACACUUGGGGUUUGAUUCAGGAAAAAGUAAAUAGUAUUCCUUUAUAAUACUCCCAUAACCUCAGUUAUCCUGCAGUAUUUGACUACACCCCUGUCUUUAAUGUAUAUAUUCUCACAGCUCUCUCCAAAAGACCAGAAGGAAAUCUGGCCACUGGGGAGCAGGGGAGGCAUGGGAAGAGAUCGUGCAGCAUUUUCCAGCCGAUGGCUCUCCUAAGUGACAGCAAAACUCCGGUGGCUCUCUCCCUUUUAAACCAAAGGGACACCGGAGCAGCUGCCAUUACUGACUGCCACCAUGGCGGUUCCUUAUGGGAGGAGAGCUGCAAAUACUGAACUUUGGGUAAUUUCUGAACAGACUCCGCCAAGCCCAUCUCCAUCGGCUCU